Molecule: transfer RNA, 77 nt
Filed under: Accumulibacter sp.
Lineage: Bacteria; Pseudomonadati; Pseudomonadota; Betaproteobacteria
Description: tRNA-Pro
Rfam family: tRNA
About the family: Transfer RNA (tRNA) molecules are approximately 80 nucleotides in length. Their secondary structure includes four short double-helical elements and three loops (D, anti-codon, and T loops).
Source: RNAcentral
CGGGGCGUAGCGCAGCCUGGUAGCGCACUUGCAUGGGGUGCAAGGGGUCGCGAGUUCGAAUCCCGCCGCCCCUACCA